AUUAUACCCCUGCGUCCUAAAAUUCUUAUCUUAGAUUCGUCUAGAUGCAGAUGUAUCUAAUACUAAAACGUGAUUUGAUACAUCCGUAUUUAGACAAAUUUAAAACAAGAAUUUUGGGACGAAGGAAGUAUCAU
Non-coding RNA from Triticum aestivum (bread wheat), 134 nucleotides. The record is from Rfam. Lineage: Eukaryota; Viridiplantae; Streptophyta; Magnoliopsida; Poales; Poaceae.